This 157-nucleotide unclassified non-coding RNA is filed under the name soil metagenome. RNAcentral's name for it is "partial internal transcribed spacer 1". The record is from RNAcentral.
CCGAGUUUACAACUCCCAAACCCACUGUGAACAUACCUACUGUUGCUUCGGCGGGAUUGCCCCGGGCGCCUCGUGUGCCCCGGAUCAGGCGCCCGCCUAGGAAACUUAACUCUUGUUUUAUUUUGGAAUCUUCUGAGUAGUUUUUACAAAUAAAUAA